GGCUCUCUGCUUACAUAAAUAUAGAGAGUCGAGCCUGCCCAGUGAAUUUUUAAACGGCCGCGGUACUCUGACCGUGCAAAGGUAGCAUAAUCAUUUGCCUUAUAAUUGAAGGCUAGUAUGAAUGGUUUGACGAGAACAAUACUGUCUCCUUUUUAUUUUCAAGAACUUAACUUUUAGGUGAAGAGGCCUAAAUUUUAUUGAAGGACAAGAAGACCCUAUCGAGCUUAAAAGACAUUAUAGAAGUUUAUAUAUUUUUAAAUAAAUUUUCUAUUUAGCUUUUUAGUUGGGGCGACUAAGGAACAAAAAAAGCUUCUUGCUGAUAAUAAGCAGUCAUGUUUAGAUCCGAUAAUAAUCGAUUAAAGAAAUUAGUUACCGUAGGGAUAACAGCAUAAUCUCUCUUGAGAGACCUAAUCGAAAGAGGGGGUUGUGACCUCGAUGUUGGACUAGAAUAUCCUAAAGAUGCAGAAGUCUUUGAGGGUCGGUCUGUUCGACCGUUAAAAUUCU
RNAcentral lists this ribosomal RNA (504 nucleotides) under Juga nigrina. RNAcentral's name for it is "partial large subunit ribosomal RNA". It matches the Rfam family "Bacterial large subunit ribosomal RNA", at positions 1816 to 2597 of the family's 2925-position model. Lineage: Eukaryota; Metazoa; Mollusca; Gastropoda; Semisulcospiridae. The record is from RNAcentral.